GAAAAGCAGGUCCCAGCCAAACAAUGACUCAUACGACAUAUUAAUGAUGGAGAUGGGGUCAUACUAUGGAUAUUUUGGGAUGGCAAGGUAAUUGGAUAUUGUUGUCAGGGGUGGUGCUUGUAGGUGGGGCUGAAUUGGACUACUUAUCUCAGUGCAUCUUAAGCUUCCAUCUAUGAAUGAGAUUGCUUUAUGGAAAGAAACACCAUGAACACUCCACUAUUGAUGUUUGUUCUUCUGACUCUACCCUGCUACAGCGCACAUGGGCAGAUAAAUCCUUUUGGAAUUCCAGUCUCCGUCCAUGCUGGGAAGUUCUACGGCACGUCUCCCAGAGAUCACGUCUGCGACAGGGUUAAUUAUAGCGGUCUAGAUUUCACCUGCUGUGAAGGAGUACGUCAUGAAGGGGCGGGGCUGUCCUGCUGUGGAAACAGGGUCUUUAACCUCACCCAGGCUUCCUGUUGUAAAGGUCAGUUAACUCUGAAUGUGAGCCAGCUGGUGUCAGAUUGCUGUGGGUGUAGGCCCUACGACCCACUCAACCAGCUGUGUUGUGACUCACGGAUCCUAACCAGGACCCAACCUCAUGCCAAGUGUUGUGGAAAAGAGCUUUACGAUGAAGACCACCAGCUUUGCUGUGGAAAUGUUUUGAAAGGAAGGAAGGUCCUGGCCAAAAUGUCCAGUCACCACCGAUGCUGUGGAGACCACCAGUUUGACCAGCAAAGCCACUGCUGCUGCUCUGAAACACUAUCCCCAGAGCCUCUCAAUGCAAGCUGCUGUGCAUCAACAAGUUCUAAUUACAGGGGAAUUGACGCGAGUUCUCCAAACUGUAUGCCAGGGGAGAGGCCCGAGGGUUGCUGUGUGAACCAUACAUCCUGCCAGGGGCAUCCUCACUCCCACCUCCAGACCUCUGCGGAAACACGCAGCCACACCCCAGGUCUCCACGAUGAUGCUGGCUGUGGCUCUCAGGUUUACAAUCCAGACCACAAGACCUGCUGUGCCGGGAAGCUGUCCAAUAGGGUGCUCGGAAAAAACCUGUGCUGCGGUAAAACUCCCUAUGCUGUAGAGGACCGACGGGUGCUGUGCUGUAACCAGACGUUGCACCGUGGGGUGGAGGCUGGGCACCAGUGCUCCCCAGGUGGCCACUUGUAUCGGCCAUCCCGUGAAAUUGUGUGUGAGUCACGUGUUCAUCUCAACGAUCUAGGCAAACACUGCUGUGGAGAAGAGACCUACGACCCUCAGGAUGAAAUCUGCUGCAACGGACACAAACACCGCAGGUUGGGGAACAUGUCCUGCUGCGGAGGGAAGGCCUACGACCCCAGAAGUGGCCAGAUGAAGUGCUGUGCAGAUACUCUGUACAACCUGCAGGUUCAGGACAGGCUCUCAGAGGAUGCCCAGUGCUGUGGGAAUCUCCUGAUGGAGGCCGGCUCCACCUGCUGCUCCGACCCAGGACUAGACCUGCUCUACCCUACCCAGCCAGGGUUCACCUGCUGUGGGCACCGAUACCCCAACUCCUCCCUGUGGUCUUGCUGUGCGGGGGUCCUGCACCCAAGGCUUGAACCACACACCACCAGCAUGAACAUGACUCCAGGACCUAGGAUUCUACCACUGGGGAGCCUGAAGACGGAAGUCCUGUGUGACACCAGAGUUCUGCUAGGGACAGUGGAGAGUGUGUCUGUGAAGAGGAAUGAGCGGUCCAUCAUGAUGGGGAAGGUCAUGUCCAUGCAGGCCUUGUGUGGCCCUGUCAACGCCCUGCCUGCCCCUCACUACCUCACAUACUGCAGCUCUACUGAACUGGUGCCGGGCAACACUGACAUCUGGGUGGAAACAAGACAUUUCUCAGAAACAGAAGAAAGCCGUUACUACAACGUAUCCAAUUGACCACCAGAGACAUUCUUCAAAGGACUCGGUUGGGCAACACGCCUUCCAUCUACCACCAACCUACCGAAGCGCAGCUCAGACUUGGCAACAAGAGAUCCAGCAGGAAAGUCCCGUCCAGAACAACCAAUGAUAUUGCAUCAAUACCGUCAUCUCUACUCCCUUCAACGGAUCUCCCAUGAACCAUCGAUGACCUGUUCAUGAAUAACUUUCACACUGUGUGUGCGUAUGGAUCCCCGGUUUACUGACUUCUGGUGCAUUACCUCCCUAUGACUUGCACUCCCUGCAGAGAUGGUCAAAGGAAGAAAGGCCGGUGGUUCCUGGUCCCCUGGCUGAUUCCACCCCCCACGACACCCCAUCCGCCUCCCUUGGACAUCGAGUGAAGCCCCGUCCAUACAGUCAGAUCCCUCCUGGACUCCGGAAUUUGUGGGGUUCGGCUCCAGUACCCAGUGGACUGGAAAGUGUAAGGUCCAGAGGAGCAGUGUUGGUUUCGGUGGAUGACAUUCUAGAUCCCAACAUCAUUUGAGGGGAGGGGGGGAAGGGUACUGCCACAUCUACUCCUGCUCCCCCGCUCCGGUGGUAGACGUUGUGCCGGUUUACUAACCACAGGACCUGGAAACCCAUCUUUAUGCACACCUGGCAACCGUCAUUACGCACACCUGCGUCUCAUCAGUCACACUUGGACUUCAUAACUCAUUCUUUAUAUAGUACCCUUCUGUUAGUAGUCGUCAGGUAGUAAUGUUUAUGUUUCCAUGUAAGACGCUUCAUGUUUUGUGUCGUUCCAUGUUCAUUAUUAUUAAACUCACCAACUGCACUUGUUUCUUGACUCCCUGCGCCUACGUUACAGAUAAAUAUGUAUGUUUUUAAAACCGCAACACCGUCACCUGUUUUGUAUGCAACUGAAGGACUGGGCUGUGGAAAUGCAAUCCCUCUCAAAUGCAUAGACUGACAGUCCAUGACAGUUCAAGAGAUAGCAAAAUCACAUGUUAUAACAUUCUAACACCUGUGUGUAACGCAUUUUGACUGUAUCUGUAAACGACAGCCGUGCACCUGGUGAUUGGAACGGGUUACCUGGAGCAAAUCUUUAAAACGUUUUUUAAUGCCUUUAGGGGGUUCAAGGGGUCUAUGGCUGAGUAGGG
Molecule: long non-coding RNA, 3008 nt
Organism: Oncorhynchus tshawytscha (Chinook salmon)
Lineage: Eukaryota; Metazoa; Chordata; Actinopteri; Salmoniformes; Salmonidae
Source: Ensembl